UACGGAGGGUGCAAGCGUUGUCCGGAUUUAUUGGGUUUAAAGGGUGCGUAGGCGGCUUAUUAAGUCAGGGGUGAAAGACUGCAGCUCAACUGUAGCAGUGCCUUUGAUACUGAUGAGCUUGAGUACAGAUGAGGCUGGCGGAAUGGGUGGUGUAGCGGUGAAAUGCAUAGAUACCAUCCAGAACACCGAUUGCAAAGGCAGCCGGCUAAACUGUAACUGACGCUGAGGCACGAAAGCGUGGGGAUCGAACAGG
This 253-nucleotide ribosomal RNA is filed under the name uncultured bacterium. RNAcentral describes it as "partial 16S ribosomal RNA". It matches the Rfam family "Bacterial small subunit ribosomal RNA", at positions 524 to 776 of the family's 1533-position model. The record is from RNAcentral.